AGAGUUUGAUCCUGGCUCAGGAUGAACGCUAGCGGCAGGCCUAAUACAUGCAAGUCGAACGAUACCAAUGGGCUUGCUCAUUGGGAAAGUGGCGCACGGGUGCGUAACGCGUAUGCAACCUACCUUAAUCAGGGGGAUAGCCCGAAGAAAUUCGGAUUAACACCGCAUAAAAACACAGUACAGCAUUGUACAAUGUUCAAAUAUUUAUAGGAUUAAGAUGGGCAUGCGUGUCAUUAGCUAGUUGGCGGGGUAACGGCCCACCAAGGCGACGAUGACUAGGGGAUCUGAGAGGAUGACCCCCCACACUGGUACUGAGACACGGACCAGACUCCUACGGGAGGCAGCAGUAAGGAAUAUUGGUCAAUGGAGGCAACUCUGAACCAGCCAUGCCGCGUGCAGGAAGACAGCCCUCUGGGUCGUAAACUGCUUUUAUUCGGGAAUAAACCACAUUACGUGUAAUGUGCUGAAUGUACCGAAGGAAUAAGGAUCGGCUAACUCCGUGCCAGCAGCCGCGGUAAUACGGAGGAUCCAAGCGUUAUCCGGAUUUAUUGGGUUUAAAGGGUGCGUAGGCGGCUUAUUAAGUCAGGGGUGAAAGACGGUGGCUCAACCAUCGCAGUGCCUUUGAUACUGAUGAGCUUGAAUACACUAGAGGUAGGCGGAAUGUGACAAGUAGCGGUGAAAUGCAUAGAUAUGUCACAGAACACCGAUUGCGAAGGCAGCUUACUAUGGUGUGAUUGACGCUGAGGCACGAAAGCGUGGGGAUCAAACAGGAUUAGAUACCCUGGUAGUCCACGCCCUAAACGAUGAAUACUCGCUGUUAGCGAUAUACAGUUAGCGGCUAAGCGAAAGCGUUAAGUAUUCCACCUGGGGAGUACGCCCGCAAGGGUGAAACUCAAAGGAAUUGACGGGGGCCCGCACAAGCGGAGGAGCAUGUGGUUUAAUUCGAUGAUACGCGAGGAACCUUACCCGGGCUUGAAAGUUAGUGAAUCAUUUAGAGAUAGAUGAGUCCGCAAGGACACGAAACUAGGUGCUGCAUGGCUGUCGUCAGCUCGUGCCGUGAGGUGUUGGGUUAAGUCCCGCAACGAGCGCAACCCCUAUGUUUAGUUGCCAGCACGUUAAGGUGGGGACUCUAAACAGACUGCCUGUGCAAACAGAGAGGAAGGAGGGGACGACGUCAAGUCAUCAUGGCCCUUACGUCCGGGGCUACACACGUGCUACAAUGGAUGGUACAGAGGGCAGCAAGCUGGCAACAGCAAGCGAAUCAC
This 1265-nucleotide ribosomal RNA is filed under the name metagenome. RNAcentral describes it as "bacterial SSU rRNA". It matches the Rfam family "Bacterial small subunit ribosomal RNA", at positions 8 to 1275 of the family's 1533-position model. The record is from RNAcentral.